GCGAACGCUGGCGGCAGGCCUAACCCAUGCAAGUCGCACGGAUCCUUCGGGAUUAGUGGCGGACGGGUGAGUAACGCGUGGGAACGUGCCCUUUGGUUCGGAACAACUCAGGGAAACUUGAGCUAAUACCGGAUGUGCCCUUCGGGGGAAAGAUUUAUCGCCAUUGGAGCGGCCCGCGUCUGAUUAGCUAGUUGGUGGGGUAACGGCCCACCAAGGCGACGAUCAGUAGCUGGUCUGAGAGGAUGAUCAGCCACACUGGGACUGAGACACGGCCCAGACUCCUACGGGAGGCAGCAGUGGGGAAUCUUGCGCAAUGGGCGAAAGCCUGACGCAGCCAUGCCGCGUGAAUGAUGAAGGUCUUAGGAUUGUAAAAUUCUUUCAGCGGGGACGAUAAUGACGGUACCCGCAGAAGAAGCUCCGGCUAACUUCGUG
RNAcentral lists this ribosomal RNA (432 nucleotides) under uncultured bacterium. Its description in RNAcentral is "partial 16S ribosomal RNA". It matches the Rfam family "Bacterial small subunit ribosomal RNA", at positions 29 to 507 of the family's 1533-position model. The record is from RNAcentral.